GCCUUGACAGAUCUUUGCACUAACCGACACGUCGUUUCGUAAUUUCCGUUUCGAAUCUCGGAAGGUAGUGGAAAAGAAGAACCCAAAGUAGCUACUGUGUUGAGUUACAUAAUACUCUAUUACCAGAGUGAAGAAUCAAUCACCCCUAAUUACUAGAUUCUCUUGGAAAUUGAAUUACAGAUUUCUUCUAAUUUUCCAAUCUCAGCUGCUGUGCAGGAAGGCUCCAAUCUCUCUCUCUAGUUGUACACUACAGGAGUUGAGAAAGCAAAAAGAAGAAUCGAGGAGGAGAAAUGUCGGUGCAGGAAUACCUAGACAAGCACGUGCUCUCUCGUAAAAUCGAAGACGCCGUCAAUGCCGCCGUCAGGGCCAAAACUCCCGAUCCUGUUCUCUUCAUAUCAAAUCACAUGAGAAAAGCGGUUCCGUCAGUGAUAACGAAAAUAAAAGGGAGGCAGAUCCUGGAUAGCAGAGGAAUUCCUACUGUUGAAGUUGACUUGUUCACCAACAAAGGCAGCUUCCGUGCUUCUGUUCCUAGCGGUCAUGUUACUGGCAUGUAUGAAGCUGUAGAACUGAGAGAUGGGGACAAAGGAAUGUAUCUCGGAAACAGUGUGACUAGAGCUGUUAAGAACAUUAAUGAGAAGAUAUCUGAAGCGCUGAUUGGCAUGGACCCGACACUUCAGUCUCAAAUUGAUCAGGCUAUGAUAGACUUGGACAAAACAGAAAAGAAGGGUGAACUUGGAGCAAAUGCUAUGUUAGCUGUGUCAAUUGCUGCAUGCAAAGCUGGAGCCGCUGAAAAGGAGGUUCCACUUUACAAACACAUUUCUGAUCUUUCCAGCAAAACCAACCCGACUCUUCCUGUCCCAGCCUUCACUGUCAUAAGUGGUGGAAAACAUGGUGGGAACAAUCUAGCCAUUAAGGAAAUCAUGAUUCUUCCAAUUGGAGCCAGCACAUUUGAGGAGGCACUACAAAUGGGUUCCGAAACAUACCAUCAUCUAAAGGCUGUUAUAAAAGAAAAAUAUGGUGAACAAGGAUGCAAUGUUGGUGAAGAUGGUGGUUUUUCUCCAAACUUAUCCAGUGUUCAAGAAGGAUUGAAUAUUGUUAAAGAGGCUAUCAGCAGAACAGGGUACAGUGAGAAAAUUAAGAUGGCCAUUGAUGUCGCUGCUACCACCUUUUGCAUAGGUACCAAGUAUGAUUUGGACUACAAAUUCCAAAAUAAAUCUGGGCAGAAUUUCAAGUCAGGAGAUGAUAUGAUUAAGAUGUAUGAAGAACUAUGUGCUGCGUACCCGAUUGUUUCGAUUGAAGAUCCAUUUGAUAGGGAGGAUUGGGAACAUGUCAAGCGUUUCUCUGACCUUGGACUUUGUCAGGUUGUAGGGGAUGACUUAUUGAUGUCAAAUCACAAACGUAUUGAAAGAGCAAUACAUGAGUCCAGUUGCACUGCACUUCUUCUCAAGGUAAAUCAGAUUGGGACAGUAACAGAAGCCCUUGAAGUGGUGAAGCUGGCAAAGGAUGCCCACUGGGGUGUGGUGGUAUCUCAUAGAAGUGGAGAAACAGAAGAUUCUUUUAUAGCUGAUUUAUCUGUUGGCCUUGCCAUGGGUCAGAUCAAAACAGGCGCUCCUUGCAGGGGAGAGCGACUAGCAAAAUACAACCAGUUGCUUCGGAUUGAGGAAGAACUGGGUGAUCAAGCAGUUUAUGCAGGUGAAGAUUGGAGAGCAACCUGAUCAGUCCUUUAAAGUUUUUCAUCCUGCAGUCCUUUAUAAUCUAAGUUUGAGGCUUCAAAAGUAAAACUCCCUUUGUAUUGAGCAAGUGGCAUUCUGGAGCAAUGUUUUCAUUUCCUACCAUCGGUCACCUAAAUGGCUUUUGUGGCUAGCAUGUCCUCAUGUGCGUUUCCAUUACGUUCUGUUGUUAGAUUAAAUGUUUUGAUCCGAUACCAGUAGCCAGGAAAUUUAUGGUUGGCACUCAAAAGUUUGGAAAAAAAUUGUGUUAGCUUCUUUAUGAUGUUUUGAGUACGAUAUGGUGGCAUGCUGCUAAAAACUCGAUAUCAUCUGAAAGAAAGAAACUAAUGGAUCAUUGUUAGGAGGGAAACAUCCCCUAUUGCAUUUAACAUGUGAACCGAAACGACACUGGAACCUUUAUAUAUAUAUUUUUUAUAUUAUUAUUAUUGAUUGAUUGCCA
Molecule: RNA transcript, 2169 nt
Organism: Populus nigra (black poplar)
Lineage: Eukaryota; Viridiplantae; Streptophyta; Magnoliopsida; Malpighiales; Salicaceae
Gene name: cytosolic enolase 3
Exons: 14
Source: RefSeq, a predicted model, not a curated record